UACGUAGGUGGCAAGCGUUGUCCGGAUUUACUGGGCGUAAAGGAUGCGUAGGCGGAUAUUUAAGUGAGAUGUGAAAUACCCGAGCUUAACUUGGGAGCUGCAUUUCAAACUGGAUAUCUAGAGUGCGGGAGAGGAGAAUGGAAUUCCUAGUGUAGCGGUGAAAUGCGUAGAGAUUAGGAAGAACACCAGUGGCGAAGGCGAUUCUCUGGACCGUAACUGACGCUGAGGCAUGAAAGCGUGGGUAGCAAACAGGAUUAGAAACCCCAGUAGUCC
Molecule: ribosomal RNA, 273 nt
Filed under: uncultured bacterium
Lineage: Bacteria
Description: partial 16S ribosomal RNA
Rfam family: Bacterial small subunit ribosomal RNA
Source: RNAcentral